AUGCGACGUUUGGCUUUGGCAGAAGCCUCAUCACGUGACAUACUUUUACCUAAUAUAGUGAUAUUAGAAAUAAUAUGAUGAUUCAAUGUUUGGUUUUAGCAAAAAUUUGUGUUAUGUGUGAUGUAUCUGUGUGAUGUAUUUUUGAAAUAAGCCUGAAAUAAUGAUAAUGAAGAUAUGUGUAACGUUACAUAUUUUCUUUCUGUGAAAAUUUCUAAAAAGGAAAUCGAAUCACUUUUAGAGGUUAAACAUAAAGAAGAUGAUAUAAGAGAAUAAAAAUGAAAUAAGAGAAUGGGAUGCUGGACCAGAUUCGAGCUACAUUAUACAUAUACAUGUAGAUAUAAGAUCUUAUAGCGAAUUCAAAAUUCCUCAUUAAAAGCUUCUUCUUUCGAUUCGAUGGAAUAAAUUCGCAAUAUCGUAAGUCAAAUUAUUAUUUUAUUAAUUUUAUAUCAUAUUAUUAUAUAUUUUUUGUAUCAUAAAUUCACCCAUUUUUUUAUAAAGAAAAUUUUUUAGCAAUCUUAUUUAUUUAUUUACGUUUAAAUCCACAUUUUCAGCUUUUAAAUCGAUUUUAGCUCGUAAAUAGAAUAUGUACACGAAACGUUUCGGUAAUUACGGAUGUUUUGUACAUAGCAAUCGGUUCAUUUGAUAUUCAGGAAACGUAAAACUCGCGCUCUUGAAAAGCUUGGAAGUUCAAGAUCUCCCUUUCUGGAAGAUCAUUUCCAGUUUCCAUUUGCGAAGUUCCGCAACUUGUCGCGCCACAUUUCAGUAACUGCCAAUGGAAAACGACGUGAGGUAAUAGCAACGAGAGGAUUGGCAUCGAAUAAAUCGGUCAGGUUCAAGGAAACUGUCGCUAACGUGAACAACAAUCGAUCAAUGAUCUAGGAAUACUUGGAAAACAAUUAAUCGAAUAUCUAUUUACUAACAUUAAUAUAUUUUUUUAUACUUUUUGUUAUCAUUCUACAUUAAUAAAUUAUGAGAUAAUUUAAUUUGAAAAAAUUAAAAGUUAAUGAACAAAUAUAUUUCUCAAUUUUUAAUCGAAUAUUGAAAGUUGAGCAAAAACAUUAAUUAUUCAUUUUAUUUGUGAUUCUUGAAUAUAGCACGAGUUAUAUUAGUAGAAUAAUUAUGAUGUAAUAAUUUUGAUAAAAGAUAUCUUGUAAUGUUUGAUGAAAUAUUAUGUAUAUGUGUGAUAAAAUUCUUAUUGCUUCAAAAAUAUAAAAAAAUACAAUUAAACAAAUUCCAUACAAUGUUUAUUUAACACAUUGAUAUGAAACUAUUAUUGUACAUAUAUAAAUAAGCAACAUCUCUAUUGAAUGAAUACAAAACUUUGAAUUUAUUGUAUAUUGGCGUGGGAUAUAAUAUUUAGGUCAAAUUUCUACCCAUUGCAAUCUCAUACAAACAAAAAAUACAAACCAAGAAAAGCCACAAUCUUCAACCAAAUCAAAAUAUGCAACAAUCUCACAUCUAUACAUUAUAUCUCUACAUUAUUGCAAAUAGAAAUAUUUUUCAAAAAUCCAGAUGCCAUUACAAGAUCAAUAAAACGUGUAAUUCAAGACUUUCGCACAGUGCAGUACAGUAUCUAAACCGGUAAUACAUUCGCACCUUCCUUAAGACCUCGUUCGAAUCCUAAUUACAUUCCAAUUGCAACGUGCACUAUAAUUCAAACGAAACUACCAUGCAUAUCUUCCACAUCACGUAAGCACAAACCAAUCCCACGCACCAGAGUGCGUAGUACCGGUAAUCGACAGUGGCCUUUAUUGAUUUUUCAUUUCCCAGCCAAUUCAAUUAUCUGGCAGGAGAGGACAAUUGGAUUAAUUCGGGCCCUUAAUUCCCUCGCUUCCAACAAUUGAGUUAGAUGGCUUGAUUCGUCUCGAUUGUAUUAAAAACCGUUACGCACUGUCGGCCACUUACUGAUGACCAGGUCAUUGGAUUCAAGAAAAUGUAUAGGCUUCUAUUGUGCGUGUCUCACAAUAAGUUUCAUGGGGCAUUAUAGAGACAUGAGGACACAGGCAAAGGACGCUCUCAUUUCACAAUCAUCGAUGACCGAUUGCAAUAUGAGAUAAACACGAAAAAUUCGUACUUACUUGGAACGAGACUAUUCCCCUAACCAGACUUCCUCGACCAAGCGAAUAAAUACCCUCGAAUUACACGGGCCAUUACUCUAUGAGUUUAUUUACCAACGAGAAUCCCAUAGAACAACAGAACGGAAGGCCAUUACAUGCUUCCUCCAAUUAAGAGAACUCUUGGUCGUCGAUCAAGUUACACAACCAAGUUUUGAGGAUUUUCAAAACAUUCGCAACGAUGGAUAAAUCCUGUACGGUUAACCACCAUCACUCUGAUUUUUGUGAACUCGUCCAUAAAUGCAACAGUUGAUUUGGAUAUCGAUUUUUGUUCAAAUUAGAAUGUAGAGAAUGAAGGGAUUGUGUAUUUGUGUUAUUAUUUAUGGGUUAGUAAUAUUGGCAGUGGAAAAUGGUUUUAUACCAUGUACAUACAACUGACUCAUUCUAGAGAAACAAUCAUGUGAAUGUAGAUAUAAUUUGAGCUAACUUUGAGCUAAUAUUAAUAGCAAUUAUUGUUAUAAGUUAUAAAUUACUAUAUUAUAAUAAAAUAUUUUGCAAUAGAACAUUAUAAAUAUUAUAAUUUUGAUUGAUAUAUAAGUGUAUUUAAUGAUAAAUGUUUAAAUAAAUUAGAUGGAUAAACUGGAUAAGUUGAAUAUUGUAUUUUGAAGUAAUAUUAAAUUUUAAAUCAUAAGUUAUGUAAUAAAAUGUUCUUUAAUAGAAUAUGAAAUAUAUAUUAUGAAGAUGUAAUAUGUUCUACAAAAUAUCUACUACAAAAUUAUUGUUAUAUUUUUAAAUAGAUAUUAGCAAUAAAAUAUAAUGUUAUAAAAUUUAUUAUAAAUGAUUAUCGCUUUAUAAAUAUAAAUAAAUAACUAAAUAAUAUAUUAAUUAUUCUAAUUAAUACUUUAUAAUAUGUAUACACGUGACAGUAUAAUCAAUAAAGUUAAAAAUUUUACUAUAUUAAAUUGUAUAUAGCAAUGUCUAUACAAGUAAAAAAAUAUAACAACUAUUAUCGCAUA
Molecule: long non-coding RNA, 3070 nt
Organism: Apis cerana (Asiatic honeybee)
Lineage: Eukaryota; Metazoa; Arthropoda; Insecta; Hymenoptera; Apidae
Source: RefSeq, a predicted model, not a curated record